This 3142-nucleotide unclassified non-coding RNA is filed under the name Apis florea (little honeybee). RNAcentral describes it as "phospholipase D2, transcript variant X4". Lineage: Eukaryota; Metazoa; Arthropoda; Insecta; Hymenoptera; Apidae. The record is from RNAcentral.
UUUCAUUCGACUUACAAGAAGAAAUAUGUAAGUCGUCGUUUGUGCUGUCACAUAAUGAACACCGAUGAAAUCGCAUGUAUAAUCAAUUGUGAUUGUGACAGUGACUUCUUAUGAUAAUGGAAUUAUCUGAAAUGUACAUAUCAAACUUUUACAAGACUAUGUGAAAUUCUUUACUUUAAAACUGUUUAUAGAAAGAAGACUGUUAAUAUUUAUAACCUUAAUAAUAACGUGACAUGUGACAUUUAGGAUAUGUAUAAAUAAUUAUUUAUUGAUGAUUUUGUAACUUGAUGAUUUUCGACUAAUAAUGUCUAACAAUAUUUUAAAUGAGAGAAGAACUGAGAAUGUUAUGGACCAUUCAGUUCUUCAUGAUUCUGAAUUUGAUGAUGCAUUAGAUGUACCUGAUUCGUUAGAAAUUACUGUGAAUGAAAAUGAUGAUACAAUAAAUGUUGAGUGUGGUGGAGAUGCUAAUAGCAUAGUAUAUCCUGGUAGGAUACCUUUCUCUGCUAUAUAUGAUUUACCAAAGCAAUUUAAAAGUCAACAUCGUGAUGUUUUUAUUCCUGGUGAAGAAGUGCAUGUAAACAUCAUAGAUUAUGAACGUAGUGUAACAACACAUCCUCUGAAUCCAAACUUGUACACUAUUGAAUUUAGGCAUGGACAUUUUACUUGGACAAUUAAAAAACGAUACAAACAUAUCCAAAACUUGCAUAAUCAAUUGAAAAUAUAUCGUGCAAGUUUAAAUAUACCUUUUCCAACUAAAAGUCACAAAGAAAGAAGAAUUAGUUUGAAAAGUUUAGGAGAUGUAAAAGAAGGAAAAGGCCGUAAAGGUGCAUUACCAAGAUUUCCAAAUAAGCCCGAUAUGCUAGUACCUUAUGAGCAAUUAGAUCUUAGAAGAAAAGUAUUAGAAGAAUAUUUGACCAAUUUAUUAAAAAUAAAAAUUUAUUUACAUCAUCCAGAAACAAUCAAUUUUUUAGAAGUUUCACAUUUAUCAUUUAUAGAAGACUUAGGAAUGAAAGGCAAAGAAGGUACUAUUUUAAAACGAACUGGAUCAGGUGCAAGAACUAGAUGUAAUUUUUGCGGUUUGCUUGAAGGCAUGUGUUGUAUUAGAUGUAAUCAUUUUUGUACAUCUUUAUGUGGAAAAUGGCAUUCUCGACAUCUCGUUGUUAAAGAUACUUUUGUUGCCUAUAUUAGGCCCAAAAAUGGUAGCAUAAAAUCGGUAAUUUUAAUGGAUAAUGGGUUUGGAGUCAGUUUUGGCAUGUAUACAACAGGUUUAAGAAAUGGUAUGCAAAUAGCAAAUCUUAGUAGGCAUAUAUUAAUCAAAUGUUGGACGAGAAGAAAGGCUAAAGAAUGGAUGGAAUUUAUACAAGAAAUCAGUAAUAAGGAAGGCCGAGAUUUUAUACAAUCAAAUCCACACAAUUCGUUUGCACCUUAUCGUUCGCCUAUAGCAGCUACAUGGUUUGUUGAUGGAUCAAGUUAUAUGUCUGCCGUUGCAGAUGCAUUAGAAAAUGCCAAGGAAGAAAUUUUCAUUGCAGAUUGGUGGUUAUCACCAGAAAUUUAUAUGAAAAGACCUGUUUCUGACGAUUAUUGGCGAUUAGAUAAAAUAUUAGAAAGAAAAGCUUCUAACGGAAUCAAAGUAUUUAUAAUGAUCUACAAAGAAGUAGAAGUUGCAUUGGGCAUAAAUAGUUUUUAUAGUAAACAACGGUUAGUUGAAAAAUGUCCUGAAAAUAUAAAAGUAUUACGUCAUCCAGAUCAUGCAAGAGUAGGAGUAUUUCUCUGGGCACAUCACGAAAAGAUCGUGAUUGUUGAUCAAAAUAUUGCUUUCCUUGGUGGAAUCGAUUUAUGUUACGGCCGAUGGGACAAUAAUGAACAUAGAUUAAUAGAUUUAGGUAAUACUCAUCAGUCUAGCAUUUAUAUUCCAUCUAAAGGUAAAUUCACCAAUACCAGCAGUAAAAAAAUAUCAUGCGCUAAUGUUAAUAAGCAUGUUUUAUUACCAUUGGCUAUUGCAACUAACACAGUUGUAAUGGCUACUACGAAAUCUAUACCAGUAUUAUCAAUGAUAAGCAACAAAACAUCAUUGUCACCAGCAUUGCCACAAUUGAAUGCUGGAGAUUUAUUAUUAAUGCACUCUUUAGAAAAAUCAGAUACUAUGAAAUGUGAUACUCCAAAUACAGAGCGUAAAAAUUUAUUUGGCAUGGCAAAAGAUACUAUGGAUAGAAUGAAACAUAAUAUUAAAUUAAAAAGACAAGAAUUAAUUAAUAUGGUAUAUAAUCCAUAUGAAGGAAGUAGUGAUGAAGAAGAUACAAUGGAUAAUAAUACAGUACAAACUGCAAUUGAAAGUAAUGAAUCAGUGACAUAUAGUGGAGAUGUAUUUUUAGAAUAUCCAGCUGUAUCUAAACUCUGGCUAGGGAAAGAUUAUGUCAAUUUUAUUGUUAAAGACUUUAAUGAUCUCGAAAAACCUUAUCAAGAUCUAGUAGAUAGAAGUACUACUCCUAGAAUGCCGUGGCAUGAUAUAGGAAUUAUGGUUCAAGGUGCAACAGCAAGAGAUGUUGCUAGACAUUUUAUUCAACGUUGGAAUGCAAUUAAAAUGGAAAAAGCAAAAUUAAAUCCAUGUUAUCCAUUUUUGCUUCCAAAAUCGUAUAAAAACUGUAGAAAUUUUGUUCCAUUUCUUGAAGAAUCUGCUAUACAUAAUGUUAAUUGUCAAGUAUUAAGAUCUGUUAGCUCUUGGUCAGCUGGUUUUCUUGAUUCAGAAACUUUAGAGCAAAGUAUACAAGAAGCCUAUCUUGAAGCUAUUAGUAAAGCAGAAAGAUAUAUAUAUAUAGAGAAUCAAUUUUUUAUAACACUUGUAUCCAUGGAACGAACCACAGUAAAAAAUCGCAUAGGAGAAACAUUAUUCAAACGAAUCUUAAGAGCACAUCGAGAAGGUGCGGUAUUUAGAGUAUUUGUAGUAAUGCCUUUAUUACCAGGUUUUGAAGGAGAAGUUGGAGGUCCAACUGGUACUGCCUUACGUGCUAUUACACAUUGGAAUUAUGCUUCUAUAUCAAGAUGAUAGUACUGUUAUUUGUGGUUCCGCUAAUAUUAAUGAUAGAAGCAUGAUAGCAACGAGAGAUAGUGAAAUUGCAGUAAUAAUUCAUGAUCAAGAAUUCGA